Molecule: ribosomal RNA, 348 nt
Filed under: uncultured bacterium
Lineage: Bacteria
Description: partial 16S ribosomal RNA
Rfam family: Bacterial small subunit ribosomal RNA
Source: RNAcentral
CCUACGGGAGGCAGCAGUGGGGAAUAUUGGGCAAUGGGCGCAAGCCUGACCCAGCAACGCCGCGUGAAGGAAGAAGGCGUUCGGGUUGUAAACUUCUUGUAAGAGGGAAGAGCAGAAGACGGUACCUCUUGAAUAAGCCACGGCUAACUACGGGCCAGCAGCCGCGGUAAUACGGAGGUGGCAAGCGUGGUCCGGAUUUACGGGGUGUAAAGGGCGUGCAGCCGGGAAGACAAGUCAGAUGUGAAAUCCCGCGGCUCAACCGCGGAACGGCAUUUGAAACUGUUUUUCUUGAGUACCGGAGAGGUCAUCGGCCUUCCUUGUGUAGCGGUUACCUGCGUAGCUCUCAGG